Molecule: unclassified non-coding RNA, 424 nt
Filed under: Paepalanthus anceps
Lineage: Eukaryota; Viridiplantae; Streptophyta; Magnoliopsida; Poales; Eriocaulaceae
Description: Lachnocaulon anceps partial contains external transcribed spacer and small subunit ribosomal RNA
Rfam family: Eukaryotic small subunit ribosomal RNA (bases 370-424)
Source: RNAcentral
CAGCUUCCUCCUCAUUGCGGGUUUUUCGCCCCGGUCGUUCGUUGCCUGGCCUGCCUACCCUUGCUCUGGGUAUUGAUCGGUUCCCCGGAUCUGCUCGUUCGGCUCUUGCCCCGGCUCUCUGCCCGGCAAGCCGCCUUUGCUGGGUGCGGUGCGCUACCGCGGCGCCGGUCGGUUAAUUCCGCCGGCGGCUCGGGGCUGCUGCGCCGACCCAAUAUCGGUACUCUCGGGUGCGGUUGAACGUGUGGUCAUUGGGGUCUCCUCGAGGCGCCCUCUGUUCCGAACACGAUGAGGUCGUCGGUCUGGCCCCGGAUAUCGCUCGGAGCGGCGCGGUGCUACGGCCCGUCGCCGCUGCCGACGCCGGUGCUGCGCUACCUGGUUGAUCCUGCCAGUAGUCAUAUGCUUGUCUCAAAGAUUAAGCCAUGCA